RNAcentral lists this ribosomal RNA (254 nucleotides) under uncultured bacterium. RNAcentral describes it as "partial 16S ribosomal RNA". It matches the Rfam family "Bacterial small subunit ribosomal RNA", at positions 524 to 776 of the family's 1533-position model. The record is from RNAcentral.
UACGGGGGGAGCAAGCGUUGUUCGGAUUUACUGGGCGUAAAGGGCGCGUAGGCGGCCACCGCAAGUCAAUUGUGAAAUCUCCGGGCUUAACUCGGAAAGGUCAACUGAUACUGCGGGGCUAGAGUGCGGAAGGGGCAACUGGAAUUCUCGGUGUAGCGGUGAAAUGCGUAGAUAUCGAGAGGAACACCAAUUGCGAAGGCAGCUCGCUGGGACGUUACUGACGCUGAGACGCGAAAGCGUGGGGAGCAAACAGG